AUGAACGCUGGCGGCGUGCUUAACACAUGCAAGUCGAACGUAAGCAUUUAGAACAGAUUACUUCGGUUUGAAGUUCUUUAUGACUGAGUGGCGGACGGGUGAGUAACGCGUAUCCAACCUGCCCAUCACUUGGGGAUAACCUUGCGAAAGUAAGACUAAUACCCAAUGACGUCUCUAGAAGACAUCUGAAGGAGAUUAAAGAUUUAUCGGUGAUGGAUGGGGAUGCGUCUGAUUAGCUUGUUGGCGGGGUAACGGCCCACCAAGGCGACGAUCAGUAGGGGUUCUGAGAGGAAGGCCCCCCACAUUGGAACUGAGACACGGUCUAAACUCCUACGGGAGGCAGCAGUGAGGAAUAUUGGUCAAUGGACGAGAGUCUGAACCAGCCAAGUAGCGUGCAGGAUGACGGCCCUAUGGGUUGUAAACUGCUUUUAUAAGGGAAUAAAGUGAGUCUCGUGAGACUUUUUACAUGUACCUUAUGAAUAAGGACCGGCUAAUUCCGUG
RNAcentral lists this ribosomal RNA (501 nucleotides) under uncultured bacterium. RNAcentral describes it as "bacterial SSU rRNA". It matches the Rfam family "Bacterial small subunit ribosomal RNA", at positions 29 to 507 of the family's 1533-position model. The record is from RNAcentral.